GAUGAACGCUGGCGGCGUGCCUAAUACAUGCAAGUCGAGCGAACAGACGAGGAGCUUGCUCCUCUGACGUUAGCGGCGGGCGGGUGAGUAACACGUGGAUAACCUACCUAUAAGACUGGGAUAACUUAGGGAAACCGGAGAUAAUACCGGAUAAUAUAUUGAACCGCAUGGUUCAAUAGUGAAAGCGGGUUUUGCUGUCACUUAUAGAUGGAUCCGCGCCGCAUUAGCUAGUUGGUAAGGUAACGGCUUACCAAGGCAACGAUGCGUAGCCGAUCUGAGAGGGUGAUCGGCCACACUGGAACUGAGACACGGUCCAGACUCCUACGGGAGGCAGCAGUAGGGAAUCUUCCGCAAUGGGCGAAAGCCUGACGGAGCAACGCCGCGUGAGUGAUGAAGGUCUUCGGAUCGUAAAACUCUGUUAUUAGGGAAGAACAAAUGUGUAAGUAACUAUGCACGUCUUGACGGUACCUAAUCAGAAAGCCACGGCUAACUACGUG
Molecule: ribosomal RNA, 497 nt
Filed under: uncultured bacterium
Lineage: Bacteria
Description: partial 16S ribosomal RNA
Rfam family: Bacterial small subunit ribosomal RNA
Source: RNAcentral